UUGGAGGGCAAGUCUGGUGCCAGCAGCCGCGGUAAUUCCAGCUCCAAUAGCGUAUAUUAAAGUUGUUGCAGUUAAAAAGCUCGUAGUUGAAUUUCGGGAUCAGUAGGUUGGUCAUGCCUAUGGUAUGUACUGGCUUUACUGGUUCCUCCUUCUUGAUGAUCUGUAAUGUCAUUAAUUUGGUGCUGCAGGGAGUCAGGACUGUUACUUUGAAAAAAUUAGAGUGUUUAAAGCAGGC
This 235-nucleotide ribosomal RNA is filed under the name uncultured Glomus. RNAcentral describes it as "partial 18S ribosomal RNA". It matches the Rfam family "Eukaryotic small subunit ribosomal RNA", at positions 548 to 785 of the family's 1831-position model. Lineage: Eukaryota; Fungi; Glomeromycota; Glomeromycetes; Glomerales; Glomeraceae. The record is from RNAcentral.